RNAcentral lists this ribosomal RNA (315 nucleotides) under uncultured eukaryote. Its description in RNAcentral is "partial 18S ribosomal RNA". It matches the Rfam family "Eukaryotic small subunit ribosomal RNA", at positions 1470 to 1796 of the family's 1831-position model. The record is from RNAcentral.
CCCUUAGACGUUCUGGGCCGCACGCGCGCUACACUGACCGGUGCAACAAGCAUCCGUCCUUGGCCGACAGGCCCGGGCAAUCUUUGAACGCCGGUCGUGAUGGGGAUAGACUUUUGCAAUUUUUGGUCUUCAACGAGGAAUUCCUAGUAAACGCAAGUCAUCAACUUGCAUUGAUUACGUCCCUGCCCUUUGUACACACCGCCCGUCGCACCUACCGAUUGAAUGGUCCGGUGAAGCCUCCGGAUUGGCGCGCACCUCGGUGCCGCCGAGAAGUUGGCUAAACCUUNCNAUUUAGNGGAAGGUGAANUCGUANCA